Molecule: ribosomal RNA, 252 nt
Filed under: uncultured bacterium
Lineage: Bacteria
Description: partial 16S ribosomal RNA
Rfam family: Bacterial small subunit ribosomal RNA
Source: RNAcentral
UACGGAGGAUGCGAGCGUUAUCCGGAUUUAUUGGGUUUAAAGGGUGCGUAGGCGGGCUGUUAAGUCAGCGGUAAAAGCCCGGGGCUCAACCCCGGCGAGCCGUUGAAACUGGCUGUCUUGAGAUGUCGAGAGGUAUGCGGAAUGCGCAGUGUAGCGGUGAAAUGCUUAGAUAUUGCGCAGAACUCCGAUUGCGAGGGCAGCAUACCGGCGGCGAUCUGACGCUGAGGCACGAAAGCGUGGGUAUCGAACAGG